ACAGCCUGCCAAGCGCACAUAUUG
Molecule: non-coding RNA, 24 nt
Filed under: Arabidopsis thaliana (thale cress)
Lineage: Eukaryota; Viridiplantae; Streptophyta; Magnoliopsida; Brassicales; Brassicaceae
Source: RNAcentral